RNAcentral lists this ribosomal RNA (433 nucleotides) under uncultured bacterium. RNAcentral's name for it is "partial 16S ribosomal RNA". It matches the Rfam family "Bacterial small subunit ribosomal RNA", at positions 29 to 507 of the family's 1533-position model. The record is from RNAcentral.
AGCGAACGCUGGCGGCAGGCUUAACACAUGCAAGUCGAGCGGGCCCUUCGGGGUCAGCGGCAGACGGGUGAGUAACACGUGGGAACGUACCCUUUGGUUCGGAAUAACGCUGGGAAACUAGCGCUAAUACCGGAUACGCCCUUUUGGGGAAAGGCUUGCUGCCGAAGGAUCGGCCCGCGUCUGAUUAGCUAGUUGGUGGGGUAAUGGCCUACCAAGGCGACGAUCAGUGGCUGGUCUGAGAGGAUGAUCAGCCACACUGGGACUGAGACACGGCCCAGACUCCUACGGGAGGCAGCAGUGGGGAAUAUUGGACAAUGGGCGCAAGCCUGAUCCAGCCAUGCCGCGUGAGUGAUGAAGGCCUUAGGGUUGUAAAGCUCUUUUGUCCGGGACGAUAAAGACGGUACCGGAAGAAUAAGCCCCGGCUAACUUCGUG